GCUAAACAGAUUCCAGGAGAUCCAGGAGAUUGUACAGCCGACACACAGCGUCAAGAACCAGCAACACCAACAGGGCCCAGGCAACGUGAGCUGGUUGCCGGAGAAGCUCCCGUGCAAAGGGGAACAGCGCAGUGAGUCGAUGGACAGGUCGCGUGUCGUGGACCCAAGAGUGAGUUGCAAAGUGCAGCCGAGGGCGCUGCCAGGCUGAGGGCGGCGGUUGGCAAGACAACGCCCUGGCAAAGAGGUGAAAGGGAACUCUGGUCUGUGUGGAGGAUGGGGACGAGAGAGCCACUCUGAAACGAUCAGAAGGUGCCUUGCGAUGCUUCCCUGGUGAAGCUGAUUCUCUGCUGCCAUCGACCAUGAUCAAUCCGCUGCUGGAUGAAGGCGUCCGCAAGAUAUCGCCGUCUCUCAUGAUAACGUCGCAACCCACCAAGAAGCUGCACGCGAGAUAGUUUCAUCGCUCCGUCUUCUCGGUGGACGUUCUCUUAGACGCCCUCCGUAUCUUGGAUGUCACUCCACCGUCCCUUCUCGCGACGAUUCCUGCCCAAGUCCGCUUAGUUUUUGUAAACAAAAACAUUUACGUCUUAACUUGCUUAUGUCAUGUUCCUUUUUCUGUCUCUGUGUAAUCCACUUUUUAUUCUAUUAUAUUGUUAAGGAAUACAUUUCUGAACCAUGUGUCACAGCACGUAUUACGCACCGAUUAAAAAAAAACGUUCU
This is a long non-coding RNA of Lethenteron reissneri (Far Eastern brook lamprey), 717 nucleotides long. RefSeq lists it as uncharacterized. Lineage: Eukaryota; Metazoa; Chordata; Hyperoartia; Petromyzontiformes; Petromyzontidae. The record is from RefSeq and is a predicted model, not a curated record.